Molecule: long non-coding RNA, 1260 nt
Organism: Mastomys coucha (southern multimammate mouse)
Lineage: Eukaryota; Metazoa; Chordata; Mammalia; Rodentia; Muridae
Exons: 2
Source: RefSeq, a predicted model, not a curated record
CACUUCAGCCUUCAGGGGUAGCAACAGUUAAUAUCCUCCCCGCUCCACGCCUACAAUCCAGGAGCUGUGCCAAGCAAAGGGCUCUACACGUACUUACCAGGUCCUCACUUGCCCUCAAGUGUACCUUCUUCAUCAGGGAGCGAGUCAGGUGGUUGCACAAGGAGACGAUGCUGAAGGACAGCUAAGGGAAGAGAAAAGAGAACCACUAGCUGAAACCGGAGAUCUGGAGAGAAGCAGAGAGGUCCACUAGGCCCCCUGCCCUUCCCAGGCCCUGACGCACCUUCCACCGCCUGCGGACGUAUUGCUUCUUAAAGUUCUCCAGGUUGACCACGGACUCUCUGCGCACCAUCGCUUGCUGGUUGUCCACCGGCUGAAAGAUAAGACAACCUGAUGGUGUCAACUGGGCUUCAAACAGCAGCUCCCCACCUCCGCACAGAAUCCUGGACCACACAUUGUCCUCAGCCUGCAGCUGACCUCCUUCUCCAGGAAGGAUGAGCAGUGUCAAAUUGCAGACACCAUCAGCACCUCAUCAGCAUCUCAUCACUGUGGGCCUCCAGUGAGGCAUCUCAUCACCAUGGGCCUCCAAUGCUGCAUCUCAUCACCGUGGGCCUCCAGUGUGGCAUCUCAUCAACGUGGGCCUCCAGUGAGGCAUCUCAUCACCGUGGGCCUCCAGUGAGGCAUCUCAUCACCGUGGGCCUCCAGUGAGGCAUCUCAUCACCGUGGGCCUCCAGUGAAGCAUCUCAUCACCGUGGGCCUCCAGUGAGGUAUCUCAUCACUGUGGGCCUCCAGUGAGGCAUCUUAUCACUGUGGGCCUCCAGUGAGGCAGGCCAUCUAGAGAAAAGACUGCAGAGUUUCAGUGAGUCAGGUGGGGUCACCCAGCCUUCGACUGUGGGGCACAGCAGUCCACGCCUGAAGUUCUUCUGGCUUACACCAAUGUGGUCCAAACCCAAAGAGUAAUGUUGCAAAGGUAGCCAGGCCUCCUGCUCCAAGUUUUUCCAUCUCUUCCUAGGGUCAAAGUUGAGCCAGGUGUGUUUACCACUCUCUUCUGCAUGGUGGUGCUGUGCCCUGUUUGCUCUCUCCCUGUGCAUCUCCUAGAGGACUGCCCAUGACAGGAAUUUUUUCUUUCUUAAUUGUCCAUAAAAUAAUCAUGCAUCUUAAAAUUAUGGUUUCUUGUGUUUGACUAAAAUGGUUUCUAUUGUGGUUAUUAUAUGUGAUACUUUAAAUGAUUCAGCUUACUAAUUAAAAAAAAAGACAACGGGA